AUACUGUCAAACUUGAGUGCAGAAGGGGAGAGUGGAAUUCCAUGUGUAGCGGUGAAAUGCGUAGAUAUAUGGAGGAACACCGGUGGCGAAAGCGGCUCUCUGGUCUGUAACUGACGCUGAGGCUCGAAAGCGUGGGGAGCGAACAGGAUUAGAUACCCUGGUAGUCCACGCCGUAAACGAUGAGUGCUAGGUGUUGGAUCCUUUCCGG
This 208-nucleotide ribosomal RNA is filed under the name uncultured bacterium. RNAcentral describes it as "partial 16S ribosomal RNA". It matches the Rfam family "Bacterial small subunit ribosomal RNA", at positions 630 to 837 of the family's 1533-position model. The record is from RNAcentral.